Long non-coding RNA from Diprion similis, 788 nucleotides. RefSeq lists it as uncharacterized. The record is from RefSeq and is a predicted model, not a curated record. The transcript has 2 exons. Lineage: Eukaryota; Metazoa; Arthropoda; Insecta; Hymenoptera; Diprionidae.
UAUAUAUAUAUAUAUAUAUAUAUAUAUAUAUAUAUAUAUAUAUAUAUAUAUCGACCCUUCGCAUUUUGAAACUAUGAGAUAAAUUUUAUGAUUAGUAUUCUAUGGUAUAUAUAAUAUGCAGCAAAAGAAAAAAUGAAAAAAAAAAACAACAACAACAACAAAAGAAGAAAAGAGCAAUUUAGUAUACAUAUAUGUGUAUAUAAAUAUACGAUAAAGAUUAUUAUGGUGUAAGUGAUUGAAUAAAUGUAAUGAAUAAUAACGAUAUCUAAUUAUCAUUUAUAGUAUAGCGUUUCGCCUCUUUGCCGUUUAGUGAGUUCAGUUUGAGAUUGUAAUAACAUAUCAGGUUGAGGAAAUGAAAUCAAUUCAAUAAUUGGGGAAAAAUGCAUAAAAAUGGAAGUAAGAAAUUUAUUUUUAACGAUCACUUCAGUCUUCGGGGAAAAACCGCAGGAGCUUGCAGCUUGCAGCAGUUCAACUAAAAUCGUACCUAUAAUUCUCUACUGAUUAUAUUGUUGUGUCUUUACGGUAGCACGUAUAUGUAAUUAUGCGUUUAAAAAAAAAAAAACGUUGUAUACUUGGGUUCGUAAAUAAUAGGACCAUGCAUCAUCACAGUCGCCUGCAGUUGUGUUAAAUGAAUUUCCGAUUCACAUAUAAAUAUCCAUGCUCGCAAGGGUGAUUUGAGUAUAAUUAAUCAUUAAUCACAUGAAAGUAUGAUAAUAAAUUUUUUAUAAAUCGAAAAAUAUAUACCGCGAUCAUUAUAUCGCGCUGAUUAUAAUCCUGAGCGUUACAAA